Molecule: ribosomal RNA, 1309 nt
Filed under: Deroplatys truncata
Lineage: Eukaryota; Metazoa; Arthropoda; Insecta; Mantodea; Mantidae
Description: 16S ribosomal RNA
Source: RNAcentral
AAUUCAUAAGAUUGUUUUUGAUUUGAUAUUAUUUAGAAUAUAAAUUAAUUAAAAUUUUGUUAUUGUAUUAUCAAUUGAGAUAAUAAUUAAUACUAUAGUAAAUUAGUAUUGUAAAAGAAGUUUAAUAUUAUAUAAUUAAUUUAAGUUGAUUUUUUUUAUUGUAUCUUGUGUUUCAGAGUAUAUCGAAAUUAAUAAUUAAUUUUUUUUUUCUUGAAUUUGAAAGAUUUAAUUAAUAGUUUUAAUUAUUGUAUUAUAAAUAUUAAGAAUUAUUAAUUAGUAGUGAAAUGUUAAUCGUUUUCAAUAAUAUCUAGUUUUUUAAUAAAUAAAUUUAAUUUAGAGAAUAUAAUUUAUUAAAUAUUUAAAUAUUUAAAUAUUUUGUUUUCUUGACUUUAAAAGGGAAAAUCUUUUUGAAGAAUAUUUAUAAUAAUUUAUUAAUGAAGAAUUGUAUAAAUUUAGAAUUUGUUAUUAAUUUAAGGAUGUUGAAAUUUAAUUCUUAUUUUGUUUAAAAUUUUUAGUUAUUAUUUAGUAUGUAUAUUAAAAUGUUAAGUUAAAUAAAAAAAAGUGAGUAAGUAUGAUUUAAUUAGUAAAGUCUGGAUUAUUUUGUGAAUGAAAUGUAAUGUUAAUAUGAGGAAUUAGGCAAAUAAUUUACUCACCUGUUUAUUAAAAACAUGGUUUCUUGGGGAAAUAAGAGAUUUAACCUGCCCACUGAAUGUGGUUUAAAGGGCCGCAGUAUAUUGACUGUGCAAAGGUAGCGUAAUCAUUAGUCUUUUAAUUGAGGGCUAGUAUGAAGGGUUGGAUGAAGUAAAGACUAUUUUAUAAUAAUUUAAUUUAACUUAGAUUUUAAGUAAAAAUACUUAAAUAAAAUUAAGGGACGAGAAGACCCUAUAGAGUUUAAUAUAUAUUUGAAUUUAAUAAAGUUAAAAUAAUGAAUUUAUUAUCUAUGUGAAAUAUAUUUAAUUGGGGUGAUUAAAAGAUAAAAUGAACUCUUUUUUGAGUUUAAUAUUAUAUUAAGUUUUAAGAUCCAUGGUUAAUGAUUUGAAGAUUAAAUUACCUUAGGGAUAACAGCAUAAUUUUUUUUGAAAGUUCAUAUUGAAAAAAAAGAUUAUGACCUCGAUGUUGGAUUAAGAUUAGUUUUGAAUGUAGAUGUUUAAUAACUAGGUCUGUUCGACCUUAAAAUUCUUACAUGAUCUGAGUUUAAACCGGCGUGAGCCAGGUUGGUUUCUAUCUUUAAUUAAUUAGAAUAUUUUAGUACGAAAGGACCAAAUAUUUGAAAUAAUUUUUAUGAAGGAAAAAGAAUAUUAUUAAUAAA